GACGAACGCUGGCGGCGUGCCUAAUACAUGCAAGUUGAGCGCUGAAGGUUGGUACUUGUACCAACUGGAUGAGCAGCGAACGGGUGAGUAACGCGUGGGGAAUCUGCCUUUGAGCGGGGGACAACAUUUGGAAACGAAUGCUAAUACCGCAUAAAAACUUUAAACACAAGUUUUAAGUUUGAAAGAUGCAAUUGCAUCACUCAAAGAUGAUCCCGCGUUGUAUUAGCUAGUUGGUGAGGUAAAGGCUCACCAAGGCGAUGAUACAUAGCCGACCUGAGAGGGUGAUCAGCCGCAUUGGGACUGAGACACGGCCCAAACGCCUACGGGAGGCAGCAGUAGGGAAUCUUCGGCAAUGGACGAAAGUCUGACCGAGCAACGCCGCGUGAGUGACGAAGGUUUUCGGAUCGUAAAACUCUGUUGGUAGGGAAGAACGUUGGUGAGAGUGGAAAGCUCAUCAAGUGACGGUAACUACCCAGAAAGGGACGGCUAACUACGUG
Molecule: ribosomal RNA, 497 nt
Filed under: uncultured bacterium
Lineage: Bacteria
Description: partial 16S ribosomal RNA
Rfam family: Bacterial small subunit ribosomal RNA
Source: RNAcentral